AGGGGGAGGCGGGGGGCGUGGGGCAGCCCCGCCUUUCCCCCGAGGAGCUGCCAGGCAGCCAUAUUGCAGAGCUGUCUGCGGUGGCGGCGGCGUCUCUCGUCUCUCGCGGCCCAUCGCUCCCUCCACCGCCUCUCCCUCCCUGCCGCAGCCGCGACACCCGGCGCCGCCGCGCAGCGCCCCGGCAACACUCAGGGCGGGAAGGAGCCGCCCGCUCUCGGGAAGAACAAGAAUUCAUAAAAGUGAAGAAUUUUUAAAGAGGGUGACAAAAAGAGAAGGAAAAUGCCGAAACCAAUCAAUGUAAGAGUAACAACAAUGGAUGCUGAGCUGGAAUUUGCCAUUCAGCCCAACACAACUGGCAAACAACUUUUUGACCAGGGUCCAUGUGCUGCAUCUACUGAGCUCGCGUGCUGCAAAUACCGAAGCCCACGCGCCUAGAGCCUGUGCUCCGCAACAAGAGAAGCCACGGCAAUGAGAAGCCUGUGUACCGCAACGAAAAGUAGCCCCCACUCACAGCACCUAGAGAAAGUCCACAUGAAGCAACGAAAACCCGAUGCAACCAAAAAAAUAAAUAAAAAUUAAAAAAAAAAAGUUUUGGUUGUUUGGCAUUGAUCGGCAUUUGCCAUCAGUAUGGGUCUUUAUAUCCCAUACCAUUCAGAAAUUUUUCUUUUUUUUUAAAAUGUAACCUUUCCUAGCACAGCUAAAUGUUUUUUCUUAUUUUUAAUUAUUUGCGUAUGUCAUGUCAGUAAGAUUUUUAAACAGGGAGAGUAAACUGAAGGGUUCAGUUUGCUCUCUUGAAACCAAAAGCCUGACAUGUUUUUAGAUUUUUGACAUAUAUACACUAGUAUGUGUAAAAUAGAUAACUAAUAAGAACCUGCUACAUAAAAAGUGAAAUUCAAAAAACAAUUUUUGAGCCUAGACCCUGCCCCACACUCAAACGUCACCCCCACCACCCCAACUAGGCCCCAAUCCACCCUAAACCCUGCCCCUGCCUAAGUUCCACACCCCACCUAAACUCUGCCACCCAUA
Physeter macrocephalus (sperm whale) is the source of this 1026-nucleotide long non-coding RNA. RefSeq lists it as uncharacterized. The transcript is spliced from 4 exons. NCBI's taxonomy places the organism in Eukaryota, Metazoa, Chordata, Mammalia, Artiodactyla, Physeteridae. The record is from RefSeq and is a predicted model, not a curated record.